Molecule: ribosomal RNA, 478 nt
Filed under: uncultured bacterium
Lineage: Bacteria
Description: partial 16S ribosomal RNA
Rfam family: Bacterial small subunit ribosomal RNA
Source: RNAcentral
GAUGAACGCUGGCGGCGUGCUUAACACAUGCAAGUCGAACGGGAAUUAUUUUAUUGAAACUUCGGUCGAUUUAAUUUAAUUCUAGUGGCGGACGGGUGAGUAACGCGUGGGUAACCUGCCUUAUACAGGGGGAUAACAGUCAGAAAUGGCUGCUAAUACCGCAUAAGCGCACAGAGCUGCAUGGCUCAGUGUGAAAAACUCCGGUGGUAUAAGAUGGACCCGCGUUGGAUUAGCUGGUUGGUGGGGUAACGGUCCACCAAGGCGACGAUCCAUAGCCGGCCUGAGAGGGUGAACGGCCACAUUGGGACUGAGACACGGCCCAGACUCCUACGGGAGGCAGCAGUGGGGAAUAUUGCACAAUGGGGGAAACCCUGAUGCAGCGACGCCGCGUGAAGGAAGAAGUAUCUCGGUAUGUAAACUUCUAUCAGCAGGGAAGAUAGUGACGGUACCUGACGAAGAAGCCCCGGCUAACUACGUG